UUGAAUGGUAUAGCAUUAUUUGGUACUUGAACACCUGGGG
RNAcentral lists this non-coding RNA (40 nucleotides) under Plasmodium falciparum 3D7. Lineage: Eukaryota; Apicomplexa; Aconoidasida; Haemosporida; Plasmodiidae. The record is from RNAcentral.